AGAGUUUGAUCAUGGCUCAGAUUGAACGCUGGCGGCAGGCCUAACACAUGCAAGUCGAGCGGAUGAGGGGUGCUUGCACCCCGAUUCAGCGGCGGACGGGUGAGUAAUGCCUAGGAAUCUGCCCGAUAGUGGGGGACAACGUUUCGAAAGGAACGCUAAUACCGCAUACGUCCUACGGGAGAAAGUGGGGGCUCUUCGGACCUCACGCUAUCGGAUGAGCCUAGGUCGGAUUAGCUAGUUGGUGGGGUAAAGGCCCACCAAGGCGACGAUCCGUAACUGGUCUGAGAGGAUGAUCAGUCACACUGGAACUGAGACACGGUCCAGACUCCUACGGGAGGCAGCAGUGGGGAAUAUUGGACAAUGGGCGAAAGCCUGAUCCAGCCAUGCCGCGUGUGUGAAGAAGGUCUUCGGAUUGUAAAGCACUUUAAGUCGGGAGGAAGGGCUGUAGGUUAAUACCCUGCGGUUUUGACGUUACCGACAGAAUAAGCACCGGCUAACUUCGUGCCAGCAGCCGCGGUAAUACGAAGGGUGCAAGCGUUAAUCGGAAUUACUGGGCGUAAAGCGCGCGUAGGUGGUUUGGUAAGUUGGAUGUGAAAGCCCCGGGCUCAACCUGGGAACUGCAUCCAAAACUGCCUGACUAGAGUACGGUAGAGGGUGGUGGAAUUUCCUGUGUAGCGGUGAAAUGCGUAGAUAUAGGAAGGAACACCAGUGGCGAAGGCGACCACCUGGACUGAUACUGACACUGAGGUGCGAAAGCGUGGGGAGCAAACAGGAUUAGAUACCCUGAUAGUCCACGCCGUAAACGAUGUCGACUAGCCGUUGGGCUCCUUGAGAGCUUAGUGGCGCAGCUAACGCAUUAAGUCGACCGCCUGGGGAGUACGGCCGCAAGGUUAAAACUCAAAGGAAUUGACGG
This 913-nucleotide ribosomal RNA is filed under the name uncultured bacterium. RNAcentral's name for it is "bacterial SSU rRNA". It matches the Rfam family "Bacterial small subunit ribosomal RNA", at positions 8 to 916 of the family's 1533-position model. The record is from RNAcentral.